RNAcentral lists this transfer RNA (87 nucleotides) under Candidatus Physcosoma equi. RNAcentral describes it as "tRNA-Ser". It matches the Rfam family "tRNA". From Rfam's summary of the family: Transfer RNA (tRNA) molecules are approximately 80 nucleotides in length. Their secondary structure includes four short double-helical elements and three loops (D, anti-codon, and T loops). The record is from RNAcentral. Lineage: Bacteria; Pseudomonadati; Spirochaetota; Spirochaetia; Spirochaetales; Sphaerochaetaceae.
GGAGUUGUGGCCGAGAGGUCGAAGGCGCUUGACUCGAAAUCAAGUAAUCAGGUAACUGGUUCGGGGAUUCGAAUUCCCCCGGCUCCG